ACCCACAAAUAUUUUGAAGAUUUUUUCUGAGAAUAAAAUGCUUAAAGGGGGUCGAUUUGUAAAGCAUAAUAUCACACAUUUACACAUAUAAUCACCAUGGAUCCAAACCUCAACACUUGGUAAAUAAAGACAUCAGUAUUUCCAAUAGGAUUAACUAGUUUAUCCUUAGUUAGGUACUUAUCCAACUUCAAAUGAGUUAAAUAUAUAUUUUUAUCUCUCGUUGCCAAAUCAUGAAAUUUUUCCAUCAAAAAUUUCGGUCAGUAUUGCAUCUGAAAUAUUACUCAAUUCAUGCUCCAUUGCCUUCUCACUUGUUGGGCCAUCGAAGUUGUUAAUAUUUAUCCGCAUGAGUGAUAGAUCCUAGAUUUUACCAGUUUUAGGCCAUGUAUUAUGCUAUGUUUAGAGUCCUUAUUAUCUAUUUCGAGUCUGUUCUACGUCAUUUACAGAUCUAUGUGCGUUUUGGAGAACUUUGGAGGAUAUGGAGUAAAAUUGAGCUUAAAAGGAAGAGACCCCGUAGCUGUGUAGAAAUUGGAGUCGAGACACGUUGUGAGCGUCAAACAACGCCUCUUUGGUGUCGAUCGAGGUUGAUGAAAAAUGGCGAAGCCGACUAAACUUUCAAGAAUCGCAUUUUCCCAUAAAUUUUCUUAUUUGCAAAGAAGCCCCUGAGCAGGUUUAACCUAUUUAUAUCUAUUUUCUAGCCACUGUUUAGGAUACGCUUUAUACUUUGAGAGAGAGAUUUUGGAGAGAAUAUCAGAACUUCUUCAAAGAUUGAUUGAAACCUCUAUAUUUCUUUCCCUCAA
RNAcentral lists this long non-coding RNA (797 nucleotides) under Brassica napus (rape). RNAcentral describes it as "long non-coding RNA (BNAP_LNC016060)". Lineage: Eukaryota; Viridiplantae; Streptophyta; Magnoliopsida; Brassicales; Brassicaceae. The record is from RNAcentral.